RNAcentral lists this ribosomal RNA (497 nucleotides) under uncultured bacterium. Its description in RNAcentral is "partial 16S ribosomal RNA". It matches the Rfam family "Bacterial small subunit ribosomal RNA", at positions 28 to 507 of the family's 1533-position model. The record is from RNAcentral.
GAUGAACGCUGCCGGCGUGCCUAAUACAUGCAAGUCGAGCGAACGGACGAGAAGCUUGCUUCUCUGAUGUUAGCGGCGGACGGGUGAGUAACACGUGGAUAACCUACCUAUAAGACUGGGAUAACUUCGGGAAACCGGAGCUAAUACCGGAUGAUAUUUUGAACCGCAUGGUUCAAAAGUGAAAGACGGUCUUGCUGUCACUUAUAGAUGGAUCCGCGCUGCAUUAGCUAGUUGGUAAGGUAACGGCUUACCAAGGCAACGAUGCAUAGCCGACCUGAGAGGGUGAUCGGCCACACGGGAACUGAGACACGGUCCAGACUCCUACGGGAGGCAGCAGUAGGGAAUCUUCCGCAAAGGGCGAAGGCCUGACGGAGCAACGCCGCGUGAGUGAUGAAGGUCUUCGGAUCGUAAAACUCUGUUAUUAGGGAAGAACAUAUGUGUAAGUAACUGUGCACAUCUUGACGGUACCUAAUCAGAAAGCCACGGCUAACUACGUG